UACGGAGGGGGCAAGCGUUGUUCGGAGUUACUGGGCGUAAAGCGCGCGUAGGCGGUGCGGUAAGUCUGGGGUUAAAGGCUGCAGCUCAACUGCAGUAAGGCCUUUGAUACUAUCGCGCUAGAGUACCAGAGAGGAUGGCGGAAUUCCCGGUGUAGCGGUGAAAUGCGUAGAUAUCGGGAGGAAUACCAGUGGCGAAGGCGGCCUUCUGGACGGUUACUGACGCUGAGACGCGAAAGCGUGGGGAGCAAACAGG
This 253-nucleotide ribosomal RNA is filed under the name uncultured microorganism. Its description in RNAcentral is "partial 16S ribosomal RNA". It matches the Rfam family "Bacterial small subunit ribosomal RNA", at positions 524 to 776 of the family's 1533-position model. The record is from RNAcentral.